AGAACUGUAUUGACACAGAACUCAAACACCAUUUAGCAAGAUCAAAGACUGGCAUUUUACCUCCAUAGAGGGGACAACUGAAAACUAAAUCAUGGGCAUUUGUUAUACAAUGAACAGCACAGAAUUAGAAAUACCUCUGAGAAAAAAAAAAAAAAAUACUACCGAGACAUUAACCAAACCAGUAUCGUAGUGAAAAAUAAUUCCCUCAAACACCUGCUAGAUCAAGUAAAAACAAGUAAACAUAGUAUAUAGGAUUUGAAAAAUACAAUAAAUUAAGUUUAAAGGUAUUGAUCACUUCACAACUUCUCGCGUGCCAGAAAUUCCCAAUUUCUUUGCCUAAACCAAAUGGAAUCCCACUCAGACCCACUCUUGCCAGGGUUGGCUUCCCAGGAGGGACUAGGACUGCUCUGGGGAGGCCUCUGCUCUGUACUGACCUGGUGGCCCUGAUUUGCUCUGUUCAAGCCCAUGAAAUCGAGUACAUGCUGUGAGGGCCCGUUCUCCCUCCCCGAAGUGGAGCUCGCAUGUGGACCUUUGUCUUAUUCCCUAGAGUACAGCACUGAGUCCUUGGCAGCCAGGAUUCCUUACAGCCAGCCAUCCGAUCCUCAGCCCCUGGCUCUGAGGACACCCACCUCUCAGGACACUGCCACUCUCUCUAGGGGCAAAGCAUUCCCGAACCCAAAGACACAAGGUUGUGGGCAUCUCGCUUUGUCAAAGGAGGCAGGCUGGUGCUUCUAGAAGUAUCUUUUCAUGUUUUUAUUGAUUUGUCCAGAGUAGCAAAAAAGCCACCACGUUCCUCCUUAACCCACUGUCAGACCAGUUUGUGUGGUAGGUACGAAUUUCAGUAUGUAAACUCAGGUUGGCACAGAAGAUAACCUUACUUCUCUAUUCUGAGUUAAGAGUUUGAAAAUUCUAUUACAGGAUUCCACAUGACAGAAAUGUAAUUUGGGGUUUUUUUUGUUGGUGUGUGUGUGUAUGUAUGUAUGUAUGUGUAUGUGUGUGUUUGUGCACACACGUGCCUUCUGCAACUUUCCCCAGGGAAAUACUCCAUGUUUUUUGUUUUUUGCUGUGGCAGUUCUUAAAAGCAGAAGUUGUACAGGCCAGAUUCUCUAAUAAUGAUGAAUGAGAAAGAGAUACAAUACAACUUAAAAACAUUCGAUAAACUCCUCUGAAUAAUUCUCAGACCCAAGAGGUAAAAGUGACUGCAAAUUAAAUAUUGUUUAGAAAAUGGUGAGCAUUUUCAAGAUCUAUGGGAUGUAACCAGAAAGCUACUGGUCAAGACUGAAACCGCAGCCUAAUGCCAGCUUCAUUAUGACAGAUAUAAUGAAGUGUGUUUUUCUUAGGAAAAUGGAUAGCUUUAAUAUAUUUAUUAUUAAACAAGAAGCAAAAUGAAGCAUUGGACUAACAAAAAACUAGAAAAAGAACACCACAAUAAAACUAAGGAAGAGGAUGUGAUUGAUGAUAAUAGAAGAGUAAUCAGUAAGAAUACAGAAUACACACAGCACAACUGAUCGUCAGAGUCAAUGUCCACUUCUUAGGAGGGAUGGUGGGGGGAGGGAAUAAUAUACAGGGCAACUAGUAAGAGAGAAAAGAAAAUAUACACAAUGGGAGGUAUGAGAAAAGGUUAUUAAUCAUAGUGACAGCUAAGAACUUAGAGUCAUGUACAUCUCUAAAAUGAGAUGUCCAAAAACAAUAUGACUUUUCUGGGAAACCAGAAAUCAUCAAUGGGGGCACCUGGGUGGCUCAGUUGUUUAAGCAUC
This 1757-nucleotide long non-coding RNA is filed under the name Canis lupus familiaris (dog). RNAcentral describes it as "lncRNA (ENSCAFG00845016512.1)". Lineage: Eukaryota; Metazoa; Chordata; Mammalia; Carnivora; Canidae. The record is from RNAcentral.